ACGCCGUUGGUGAAAUGGUUAUCAUGCUUGCCUUCCAUUCUGGGCCCAUAUUGGCACAGCCACAGCAAGCGGCGGGGGUUCGAUUCCCUCACGGCGUA
Non-coding RNA from Rhizoctonia solani AG-1 IB, 98 nucleotides. NCBI's taxonomy places the organism in Eukaryota, Fungi, Basidiomycota, Agaricomycetes, Cantharellales, Ceratobasidiaceae. The record is from Rfam.